RNAcentral lists this ribosomal RNA (301 nucleotides) under uncultured bacterium. RNAcentral's name for it is "partial 16S ribosomal RNA". It matches the Rfam family "Bacterial small subunit ribosomal RNA", at positions 509 to 807 of the family's 1533-position model. The record is from RNAcentral.
CAGCCGCCGCGGUAAUACGUAGGUGGCGAGCGUUGUCCGGAUUUAUUGGGCGUAAAGGGAGUGUAGGCGGUCUUUUAAGUCUGAUGUGAAAGCCCACGGCUCAACCGUGGAGGGUCAUUGGAAACUGGGAGACUUGAGUGCAGAAGAGGAGAGCGGAAUUCCAUGUGUAGCGGUGAAAUGCGUGGAUAUAUGGAGGAACACCAGUGGCGAAGGCGGCUCUCUGGUCUGUAACUGACGCUGUGGCUCGAAAGCAUGGGGAGCAAACAGGAUUAGAUACCCCAGUAGUCCCUGUCUCUUAUAC